GAGGUCUUAGCUUAAUUAAAGUGAUUGAUUUGCAUUCAAUAGAUGUAAGAUGUGGUCUUACAGUCCUUA
Molecule: transfer RNA, 69 nt
Filed under: Typomys trivirgatus (West African Hybomys)
Lineage: Eukaryota; Metazoa; Chordata; Mammalia; Rodentia; Muridae
Description: Hybomys trivirgatus (West African Hybomys) tRNA-Ala
Rfam family: tRNA
About the family: Transfer RNA (tRNA) molecules are approximately 80 nucleotides in length. Their secondary structure includes four short double-helical elements and three loops (D, anti-codon, and T loops).
Source: RNAcentral